This 512-nucleotide ribosomal RNA is filed under the name uncultured eubacterium WR8131. RNAcentral's name for it is "bacterial SSU rRNA". It matches the Rfam family "Bacterial small subunit ribosomal RNA", at positions 9 to 527 of the family's 1533-position model. RNAcentral also lists the same sequence under 1 other name. The record is from RNAcentral.
GAGUUUGAUCAUGGCUCAGAUUGAACGCUGGCGGCAUGCCUAACACAUGCAAGUCGAACGGGAGUAGCAAUACUCUAGUGGCGGACGGGUGAGGAAUACAUAGGAAUUUGCCCUUAAGUGGGGGAUAGUCCGGGGAAACUCGGUUUAAUACCGCAUGAUCUCGUGAGAGCAAAGCAGGGGACCGCAAGGCCUUGCGCUUUUGGAGAAGCCUAUGUCGGAUUAGCUAGUUGGUGAGGUAAUGGCUCACCAAGGCGACGAUCCGUAACUGGUCUGAGAGGAUGAUCAGUCACACCGGAACUGAGACACGGUCCGGACUCCUACGGGAGGCAGCAGUGGGGAAUAUUGGACAAUGGGCGAAAGCCUGAUCCAGCAAUGCCGCGUGUGUGAAGAAGGCCUUCGGGUUGUAAAGCACUUUAGGUUGGGAAGAAAAAAUUCGGGCGAAUAUCCCGAGUCUUGACGGUACCGACAGAAUAAGCACCGGCUAACUCUGUGCCAGCAGCCGCGGUAAUACG